Molecule: long non-coding RNA, 794 nt
Filed under: Bos indicus x Bos taurus (hybrid cattle)
Lineage: Eukaryota; Metazoa; Chordata; Mammalia; Artiodactyla; Bovidae
Description: lncRNA (ENSBIXG00005008049.1)
Source: RNAcentral
GUCCUGUUGAAAGCUUCCUGGGUCAGGUUGGGAUUGGGAUGAGUGUAGGUGCCUGAGGGUGAUUUCUGGGAUCUACUUUUUGCAGAUAAGAGGUUUUAGAGCUGGAAGGGAUUUUAGAGACCUCUUUAAUGAGGAUGUUGAGGACAACAAAGGAAAAAUAAAUUACCUAAAACCACACAGCUAAUGAGACCGGAAGCGGGGACAGGGGUCUUCUGACUCCUAAGAUGGCUGUCCACCAGGCCCCCUUCACGGUGCUGUUCCUUGGCUUUCGUGGGGACAGAAUCGGGUAAAGGGUGGAAAAAGGAGCCAACUUUUCUGGAGACUCAGGACCCAUUUGGCAGAGAAGCACAUAGAAAAGCCAGAGAAUGCAGCCUGGAGAGAUGGAAGAUGCCAGUCAGGUCUCACUAGUGUCUAGGAAUGGAAGGUUUUCUCAGCAUCCAAUACCGACUGGAAGAAGCUCCUGCCAGCCAUGUAAGAAGGACAAUGUCAGGCUCUAAUCAGGGAGAGCCUUGGAGAGCUGAGGAGAUUCCCCAAUUUCUUCCUGCUCAUCAUUUUCAGUCCCUGACGUCCAUUUCCACAGAGGAAUUAGCAGUAAGUUCUCUAAAAGGGGAGCUGAUUGCUGAUUUGCUUGUUUUAAGGGAUGAGGUAGAAGAGAGGAGUUGGGGAGACUUUGCUUUUCCCAAGAGCUGGUCACAGGAGAAGAAAGUGCUCUUUGUUGGUUGUAGCAGCUCUGGACUGGAAAGAAAAGCAGGUCAAACACCUGGGCCUGUGUACUGGGCAGUGUGCCAUCCUCC